RNAcentral lists this long non-coding RNA (725 nucleotides) under Homo sapiens (human). RNAcentral's name for it is "HSALNT0016679". Lineage: Eukaryota; Metazoa; Chordata; Mammalia; Primates; Hominidae. The record is from RNAcentral.
UGAAGAGGGAGAUAUGUCUCCGCUGAUCCAGAAGUCAAUAUUCUCCUCACUAUAUUCAGACUUCAAGAAAGCUUUGAAAGCUGCCAGCCCACCUAUGAUACAGGAGAAAGGACCACAGUUGUCAUCACACUGGUUGGCCUCUUGGAUAUGCUAUUUCACAUAAAGCUGAGGUACUUGGGGGAUAAAGCAUGGAUUCAAGCAAUCCCUUUUUCCCCUGCUUUUUUCAAGUCACCUGGAGUCAGGUAACCCUAAUCUGUGUUUGAUAUCCAGUGGUUCCCAGUUCUACCUAAUGAUUCUUACUCAAGUUGGAAGCCUCUUUCAAGGAAGUAUUUUGCUUCUGAAAUGCCUAUGCAGCUAUCAAUUACCAAGGUCAAUUUGGGAAAGAGAAACUGAGAUUGAUUUUGCAAGAAGGUAUUGAUAUUUAUCAUUUUUUUUCUCUCUUCCGUUUUUCCUUGUGAUGAGAGAGAUGGUUUUCCACAUGGUUCCUGCAUAAACUUUUCAUUGUAUAUCACAAAGCUCUAGGGCAUAUUAAAAUUUUAAACAGACUGAAUUUAAGACCUAAAGAGUCUCCUGAGUCUGAACAUCAGAAAGAAGCCAGGCCUUGCUGCAGUUUCUAUUAGACCAGCAUAAUAUAACUUGUCUUAUCCAGAGUACCUCAUCCCAGGUUGCUGUCAGACUUACAUUCAUGACUAAUCAGGUUUUCCAGUGAUUCAGCCCAUUUCUUG